GGCUUUUUUCCUUCUUGAUGCCCUUUGCUUUGUUUGUACUUCAAAGUUAAUUUUAUUUAGAUUGACGGGUGUUUUCCACCCCCCCUUUUUUUUUUGUAAUUUAAAAAAUUUAUUUUUAAAUGUUUGUAUGUGAAUUCCAUGUAGAAAUCGUAUGAAUUCGGGUGUGAAUCUUCCUGUGAGUGCAGUUCUGGUUUUGGCUUUGAUUGGGUUUUGAUGGCGGAGCUGGUGUGAGAUCUUUUGACUUUUGUCAGAUGUUAACUUUACUACUAACUUGGAAAUGCAGAACCUCCUCUGGAUUUUGAUCAGGCUCAUUCUGGAUCAUGUUGUUGUAUGAAAAUUUUCUGCAAUUUUUUUGGUCCUCGUUAUUCUCUCUUCGGUUUCUGGUGAAACUGAGGAAAAUAAAAAGAGAAUAAUUUUGUCGGUCUUACGUUACUAGAGAAGCAAAAUGGUGGAAUUAUUUCAUCCUGGCAAUUGUGGAAACCCUAAUUGUGUUGUGUUUCUUUUCUCUUUCCUCUCUCUCUCUUUCGUCCCCUGAAAUUGGAAAAACCAAUUUCUUCUCCAUUGUUCUGCUUUCUUAUCAAUCAAACAGAGGAAAUACAAGAAUGGAUCUUGUGUUUAUUCUUUCUUAUUAAAGUCAUAGCUGGAGGGUCAGAGAUGAAGUAUCCGUGUAAUGGCAGUAGCUUCAUCUCAUGGUCUACGGCAUACGAUUUCAGUGGAUCCCUUUUUACUAGUGAUGAUUUUGGGGGUUCCACUCAAUGACAGAAACUUUAGAUGCUAGGUAUCUCUCAAAACCAAAAGUUUGAUUAGGAUUUGGCCCUACAUAGUCUACCCUGGGUGGAUUUGUGAUACUUGAUUGAUGAUGAGACUCAUAUUUACCAUGGGCUUGCAAAUUUCAAGGAGGUUUAAGGUCUUAAUUUGAAGAUCUAGUAUACAUGUGUCCUGUUUUGAGUUUUUUAUUUUGUUUUUUUACAUUUGUUUCUGGAGUGAAAUUAUUGAAGCUGUGGUUGACUAAGUAACUCGUGGUUUUUUCGGCAAUGUGAAUUACUGAAUUUAAAUGUAACUCUUGGUUGUGAAGUGUUGCAGUAAUGGUUCAACUGACGAUUUUUUGAGCAGCAGCAUUUUUUUUUUAAAGUUGUGGUUUUGCCUUUUGCAGUCCUUUGCAUUUCUAGGUUGUGAGACCAAGAAACAUGGCACCCCUGAACUGGUGUUUGUUUCUUUCAGUACUUACUCUUUUGGACUAGGAUUAGCUCCUUACCACCAUUUGUUUAUAUGGUUGUGUGUUCUAUAACAAGGUAAUGCUAUUGUGGGGAUCUGCAAUGCAAUUAUUGGGGGCAACCAAACUAGGUUCUGAGUAGUUAACAUGAGAUCCCCAACAGAGGCCACUUGGGUUUGCACUAAUGGAUUGCACUUUGCAGUUAGGGUUUGGGGCAACCAUGAGUCCAAGUAAAUGUUCUGAGCCCUGGCCUCCAAUUUGAGCUCGUUUGGGUGAAGCCAAAUCAAGCCCAAUCCAUGCUAACUCUGUUUGAUCUCAAUUGGGCACAAUUAAUUGUCAUGAUGCAGUGUUAAUCAAUUUAGGGUCGGUUGAAUUAGAAAAAAAGUAGAAAUGACCUAUGCUUGUGGUGUGUAAAAAAUAAAGGGAAGAAAAACAUGAAUUACUUAGUAGUCUACUAUGAAUGGACAAUUGGCUUUUGAGACUGGUAUACAGCUUAUAGCACACCCCAGGCCCCUGCUGUGGUUCUAAUGACUUGUCUACACACAAUCCUUGAAAGUGGGCCAACUUUUCUAAACCAUGAAAUCUGCUUUCUGACAAGAUAUAUGGUGAUCUUUGCAUGUCAUCUUGUUUUAUGACUUGCUCUACAGACAUAACUAGAUGGAAUGAAAUGACGUGUGCAUGUUGCUAAUUAUCUGGUUGUUCCAUGCUUCUUCACUUUCUCCUUUUUAACAUUUCCUGGUAUACAAGUUUGUCUCAUCGUUUGUUUGCUGCAUUCACAUGAAAGAUUAAAUUACUGCUUCCUUGAGCUGUCAGUGAGUUCAAAACAAAUUAUUUAUGUGUUCUUGUAUUGUGCUUACUGUUAUAGGUUGAUCAAGUUUCCAAAUUGUGAUUCCAAUAGCCAUGC
This 2117-nucleotide long non-coding RNA is filed under the name Vitis vinifera (wine grape). RNAcentral's name for it is "long non-coding RNA (VVIN_LNC006064)". Lineage: Eukaryota; Viridiplantae; Streptophyta; Magnoliopsida; Vitales; Vitaceae. The record is from RNAcentral.